UGUGGGACCCCUAACAGCAGGAGUCCUGACUUUGAUUCCUGCCUUGGGACCCUUUCCCCAAA
Molecule: microRNA precursor, 62 nt
Filed under: Mus pahari (shrew mouse)
Lineage: Eukaryota; Metazoa; Chordata; Mammalia; Rodentia; Muridae
Description: miRNA (MGP_PahariEiJ_G0006729.1)
Source: RNAcentral